GUGGAGGGAGGAGAGCACAAUCUGCUGCAUGGAGAGAUGCAAGGGAAAAAGGUCUCACUCUGUUUCCUGGCUGGCUCCCCUCUCCCCCUUUGGAAAUGGGGCUGGACACAGAGCAGGAUCCACCAUGGAUUAUACAGGAGUGAACACAGCCAGAAUCAGCCACUGGCUUGCAGACAAAUGUAUUUUCUUGUUUUGGCCCUGGAGAGGACCUUCUUAUGUACCCUUUUGGAGCAGAGAAGAUUGUCUGAAGCUGGCACCCAGGGAAUAUUGGUCUGUACUUCAUGGUGCUUCUCCUUGCCUUCAUCAGGACAGUUCAGCUUAGCCUGGAGCAAGGAGUUUUCUUCUGCUGUCACCCACCUUGGAGACAUGAGCUAAGCAGCUGAGUCGUGUGACCCAGGCACUGAGAUGCAUUGAAAUUCAUUUGGCAGCUGCUGAGAAAGCAGCAUGAGGGACUCACACUGCCAGAGAGAUGCAUCCUCCUGGGCCAGGCUGGAUGGGCUGGGCUGGAUGGGCUGGAUGGGCUGGAUGGGCUGGGCUGGAUGGGCUGGAUGGGCUGUGCUGGCAUUCCCCGAGCACCUCCUGGACUCUGCUCAAGGCUGUCACGUUUCCCCGGUGCCAGGGAGCGCUGACACAGCGUGCCCAACCUGGCCAAGAGAGGCAGGGCCUCCUGCCCAACGGGGAAUG
This 684-nucleotide long non-coding RNA is filed under the name Junco hyemalis (dark-eyed junco). Its description in RNAcentral is "lncRNA (ENSJHYG00000013602.1)". The record is from RNAcentral. Lineage: Eukaryota; Metazoa; Chordata; Aves; Passeriformes; Passerellidae.